This 402-nucleotide ribosomal RNA is filed under the name bacterium. Its description in RNAcentral is "partial 16S ribosomal RNA". It matches the Rfam family "Bacterial small subunit ribosomal RNA", at positions 355 to 776 of the family's 1533-position model. The record is from RNAcentral.
UGGGGAAUUUUGCACAAUGGGGGAAACCCUGAUGCAGCGACGCCGCGUGAUUUAGAAGGCCUUCGGGUUGUAAAAAUCUUUUCUAUGGGAAGAAAAUGACAGUACCAUAGGAAUAAGGACCGGCUAAUUACGUGCCAGCAGCCGCGGUAAUACGUAAGGUCCGAGCGUUGUCCGGAAUCAUUGGGCGUAAAGGGUACGUAGGCGGGUAAGCAAGUUAGAAGUGAAAUCCUAUAGCUCAACUAUAGUAAGCUUUUAAAACUGCUCAUCUUGAGGUAUGGAAGGGAAAGUGGAAUUCCGAGUGUAGCGGUGAAAUGCGCAGAUAUUAGGAGGAAUACCGGUGGAGAAGGCGACUUUCUGGCCAUAACCUGACGCUGAGGUACGAAAGCGUGGGUAGCAAACAGG